AAUGAACGUUGGCGGCGUGGAUUAGGCAUGCAAGUCGCGCGACAAGGAACCUUCGGGUUCUGGAGGAGCGGCAAACGGGGUAGUAAGGCAUCGGAACGUACCCUCUUGUUGGGAAUAGCCGCGGGAAACUGCGAGUAAUGCCCAAUAAUCCCUACGGGGCAAAGGUCCGCCGCAGGAGGAGCGGCCGAUGUGAUACCAGCUAGUUGGUGAGGUAAUGGCUCACCAAGGCUUAGACGUCUAGGGGGUGUGAGAGCAUGGCCCCCACCACUGGGACGUGAGAUACUGCCCACGACACCUACCGGGUGGGCUGCAGUCGAGAAUCUUCGGCGAAUAGGGCGGAAAGACCUCGACCGACGCAACGACCGCCGUGCGGGAGUGAA
RNAcentral lists this ribosomal RNA (380 nucleotides) under uncultured bacterium. Its description in RNAcentral is "bacterial SSU rRNA". It matches the Rfam family "Bacterial small subunit ribosomal RNA", at positions 29 to 412 of the family's 1533-position model. The record is from RNAcentral.